UCCAAUCGCCGUUGCUGCUGAAUGCUAAGCCCAGUGGUUCUACAUUGGUUUAAUGCUCUCCUGCCCCUGAAUUCGGGGGGGCCCUGAGCUCUGGCGGGAAUUGAAACCUUAGGCAGCCAAGGACAGCUGGGGACUCUGCUCUCUCCAAGCCUUGGGUUUUCCCAAGGCAGCUAGCUUAACCCAAGGAACCCUUGUCAAACGUCCAAGAGCUACGCUCAGGCCCCUGGGAAAGGACCCGCUGGGGACAAAGACCCCCCAAAGGGAGCAGGAGACCAAAAAUCAGCGCCAUCCCUAAGCAUCUCUGUCUCCCUACCUACUGCACCUCCCUGCCCCAGAGCAUGGACACAGCUCGCAACUGUCUCUCCAUUUUCAGAUGACCGCAUGUGUAUCCCACACCCCUAAUAAUAAUAGGAUUGUGGACUUAAAAUGGGGAAGUAAUCUGGAGGUCCAGUCCGAUGCCUUCACACCCAUUUUGCCAAAGAGGGACAUGAAACACAGAGAGCGCAAGUGAUUUGCCGGAGCCACCCAACGAGUAAGAGCCAGAUGCAGAAUGGGAGGCUAGGUCCUUCUGCCUGCAGAUUCAGCGGCCCAUCCUCAACCCCAGGCUGCCCGUGCUGCUAGCCAGCCCCUACACAUUUCUACAAGCACCUCCACAUAGAGGCUCCCAUUUCAUCCUCACUACGACUCUGCCACAUAGACAGAGCAGGUAGUAUUCACCCAUUUUACAGAAGAAGAAACUAAGAGCUAAGGAAAGGAUGUUCAGGAUAUAGAGACCUCUCCCUCCGACCAAAAGCUACCCAAGCUCACUUCUAAAAGGAGAGAAAAUAGGAAAAGCCAAGUCAUUUCUUCCCUGCUUCCGACAGCUCUCUGCUCCCACAGCUACAAUGCUAUUGACAUAUAACCCUACCAAGAGCCAGGGAGCUGCCGCUGGUUCAUGGGAUUCAAGGCUGGAAGAACCUUAGAGACGAUCUAGGCUAAACUGGAGUCAGAAAAGGAAACUGAGGCUCACAGACGUUAAGUGACUUAUCUCAGGUCACACAGCUGGUGAUGGAUGUGGAUGACAGGUGUGCUGCUGUGGUCCCGCAGAGCCUCUCAGUGACCGGAGGCUCUUUCCAAAAUCUUUUCUAUCCUCUCAGGAUGGAGAUUUGUAACCACUGAGGAGACUCGCUCUGAAGGCCAUCACCAGAGGGGAGAUUCUGAAGGCCUUCCCUAGAGCAGAAUUCUGCAGAAUCUAGCAUCCAUGAAAUAAAUGUACAGCUUCCUGAUGUGACCAUUUUGAAGACCCUGCCCUCAUGGGUGACUGGUUACAAGAUCAGCCUUAUUUCUUAUGUUGGGAUGUAAUAAAAGCUCUAGGGAAGUGUGUUCUCUCA
Vombatus ursinus (common wombat) is the source of this 1370-nucleotide long non-coding RNA. RefSeq lists it as uncharacterized. The record is from RefSeq and is a predicted model, not a curated record. Lineage: Eukaryota; Metazoa; Chordata; Mammalia; Diprotodontia; Vombatidae. The transcript is spliced from 4 exons.